GAUGAACGCUGGCGGCGUGCCUAAUACAUGCAAGUCGAGCGAACAGACCAGGAUCUUGCGCCGCCGACGGUAGCAGCGGACGGGUGAGUAACACGGGGAUAACCUAACUAUAAGACUGGGAUAACAUUGGGAAACCGGAGCUAAUGCCGGAAAAUAUAUUGAACCGCAUGGGUCCAUAGUGAAAGACGGUUUUGGUGUCACUAAUAGAUGGAUCCGGGCCGCAUCAGCUAGUUGGUAAGGUAACGGCUUACCAAGGCAAGGAUGGGUAGCCGACCCGAGAGCGACGUCCACCACCCUGGCACUGAGGCACGUCCCAGACUCCGACGCGAGGCCGCGGUAGGGACUCUUCCGCGAUGCACCAGUGCCUGACGUAGCACCGCGGCCUGAGUCCUGAUGCUCCUCGGCUCCUAGAACUCUGUUAUUCGUAGAGAAGUAAUGCGUAUGUAACUAUGACGAUAUUGACGGUACCUGAACAGAAAGCCACGGCUAACUUCGUG
RNAcentral lists this ribosomal RNA (497 nucleotides) under uncultured bacterium. RNAcentral describes it as "partial 16S ribosomal RNA". It matches the Rfam family "Bacterial small subunit ribosomal RNA", at positions 28 to 507 of the family's 1533-position model. The record is from RNAcentral.